Long non-coding RNA from Parasteatoda tepidariorum (common house spider), 187 nucleotides. RefSeq lists it as uncharacterized. The record is from RefSeq and is a predicted model, not a curated record. NCBI's taxonomy places the organism in Eukaryota, Metazoa, Arthropoda, Arachnida, Araneae, Theridiidae.
AGUAUAAUCAAGUAUUCUCUUUUAUAGCUCUUGCGAAAGACAUUAGAAAAUUGUUUUCAAAAAUCGCCGACAAUGUUAUCAAAAAGGCGGAAAAGCAGGCAGGGUAAUCACUUAUAAAGUGUGAAGAAUAUUAGAAAUUCCAAAAAAUAUUCUGAUGUAACUUGAUUAAAACUGCAUUUAAAAUUUG